GGUAAAAUGGCUGAAUAAUAGGCAAUAAACUGUAAAUUUAUUUAUGAAAUUAAAUUUCUUUUAUCA
RNAcentral lists this transfer RNA (66 nucleotides) under Cybister japonicus. Its description in RNAcentral is "tRNA-Tyr". It matches the Rfam family "tRNA". Rfam says of the family: Transfer RNA (tRNA) molecules are approximately 80 nucleotides in length. Their secondary structure includes four short double-helical elements and three loops (D, anti-codon, and T loops). Lineage: Eukaryota; Metazoa; Arthropoda; Insecta; Coleoptera; Dytiscidae. The record is from RNAcentral.